GAUGAGGAGGAAGUUAUCUCACCAAAAAAGAAGAAGAAGCAACAAGAAAAUGGCAGCACGUGUGAUAAGAAUGAGCAGCAGCCUGGUCCGUCAUCUCAGUCCACUCCAGGUCAGAAGCGGAGGUCCAACAGAGUCUCCUUCAGUUCACCUCUGAAGAAAGGAGAAAAGAAGGACAUUUCGUCGGGGGCCCUCUUCAAGUCCCAGCUUCCCGUGACCUGUGGAUCCCAGAGUGGGAUACUGAGUAGAGAAAGACUGGCAAAAGGGGAAAAGUGUAUCACAGUUGACAGAAAGUGGUUUACUCCC
Molecule: long non-coding RNA, 303 nt
Organism: Cynoglossus semilaevis (tongue sole)
Lineage: Eukaryota; Metazoa; Chordata; Actinopteri; Pleuronectiformes; Cynoglossidae
Exons: 3
Source: RefSeq, a predicted model, not a curated record